Molecule: unclassified non-coding RNA, 218 nt
Filed under: uncultured cyanobacterium
Lineage: Bacteria; Bacillati; Cyanobacteriota
Description: partial 16S-23S ribosomal RNA intergenic spacer
Source: RNAcentral
GAGUUCGAGUCUCCUAACCUCCACUGACCGAACUUGAUUCCCAUCUCCAAUUUUUUUGGAGUUGAGCUCGAUUGGAGUGUGAUUUAGAUGUGUCCGCUGGAUGACCCCAGCUUCCUGUCAUUCCAAGUUUUAGAUUUUAAGUCUUGAAUUUGGUUGAUAAGAUGCUGGGCUCGGAUCAAAUGAUCAAGUAAUUGAUGAUUUGAUUUGAAGUUCUAGCA